RNAcentral lists this small nucleolar RNA (83 nucleotides) under Phaeosphaeriaceae sp. SRC1lsM3a. Lineage: Eukaryota; Fungi; Ascomycota; Dothideomycetes; Pleosporales; Phaeosphaeriaceae. The record is from RNAcentral. RNAcentral also lists the same sequence under 1 other name.
CUGCAAUGAUGAGCGUAUUAUUUUCAGUUCUGCUACUGAAUUCUCUUGAAGACAACUCAUACCAGCUUACCUUUUUCUGAUAU